CCUACGGGCGGCUGCAGUGGGGAAUAUUGGACAAUGGGGGAAACCCUGAUCCAGCAAUGCCGCGUGUGUGAAGAAGGCCUGCGGGUUGUAAAGCACUUUCGGUUGGGAAGAAAAGUUUGGCGCCAAUACCGCCGAACCUUGACGUUACUGACAGAAGAAGCACCGGCUAACUCUGUGCCAGCAGCCGCGGUAAUACAGAGGGUGCUAGCGUUAAGUGGAACGACUGGGGGUAAAGCGUGCGGUCGGGGGCGAAAUCCCCGGGCUUAACCUGGGAACUGCAUUCGAUACGACAUGGCUAGAGUAUGGUAGAGGGAAGUGGAAUUUCCGGUGUAGCGGUGAAAUGCGUAGAUAUCGGAAGGAACACCAAUGGCGAAGGCAGCUUCCUGGACUAAUACUGACACUGAGGCACGAAAGCGUGGGUAGCAAACAGGAUUAGAUACCCCGGUAGUC
This 450-nucleotide ribosomal RNA is filed under the name uncultured bacterium. RNAcentral describes it as "partial 16S ribosomal RNA". It matches the Rfam family "Bacterial small subunit ribosomal RNA", at positions 338 to 795 of the family's 1533-position model. The record is from RNAcentral.